UGAGGGUUUGUUCAUAAAGUAUUUUCCUACCCCGAUGUCUUCAAGAAUUCUACCUAACCUCUGUUCCAGCUGGUUCAGCGUUUCUGUUUUUAUAUUUAGAUCUUUAAUCCAUUUUGAUUUUGGUUUAGUGCAUGAUGAGAGAUAUAGGUCUAGUUUUAGUCUUUGGCAAGUUGAAACCCAAUUUUUCCAGCACCAUUUAUUAAAGAGGCUGUCUCCUCCAGUGAGGGUGUUUGGCUCCUCUGUCAAAGAUGGGGUGGCUGAAGGCUAGGGAUUUAGCUCAGUAGUUCUGCCGCCUUCCUCAAAAGAUGAGGUGGCUGAGUGUGUCUGGAGUUGUUUCUGCAUCUUCUAAUCUGUUCCACUGGUCCUCAGGUCUGUGUCUUUGCCAAUACCAUUUUGUUUUUAUCACAGUAGCUUUGUAGUAUAGUUUCAAGUUGGGGGUUGUAAUAUCCCCUGCCAUGUCUCUGUUACCUAGAAUUGCUUUUGCUAUUCUGGGUCUCUUCUUGUUCCAAAUAAUUUUUGUAUUAUUUUCUCAAGGCCCAUGAAGUAUGCUGCUGGGAUUUCAAUUGGGAUCACAUUGAAUCUAUGUAGCAAUUUUGAUGUUCAACAUUCCAAAGACUGCCUUACAAUUGGCAUUUUGGAAUUGUUUGAGAUGAAAAGAGCUUCUCUCCAUUUAUGAGUGUUCCUCAGACCUGCUAUGUCAAAGAAUUCUGCUGCUCUGGAUUCAGGAAUAUUAAGAAGGAGUGCUUACAGACUUCAUCUAGAAGUUGAAUUUUCCUACAUGUGAGGAUAUUUAGUAAUAUUUUUCCAAGUACGAUCAAGAACAACAGAAAAGUAGCAUCUAGAGGCUGAUUUGUUUGAGGUAACUGGUUCUGAAAUGAGCAGCUGUCUGAAGAAAAAGAUAUCAUAUUUAUAAAUUUCAAGAAGACCGGCUGAAAAAUACAUGAUAAUACACUGCUUCACUUUAUUUUCCGUUCACAUACUAUAGUUUAACUUGACCUUAUCUGAAAAAGUUCCAUCACAGGUUCGUGGUACAGGACACAGAAGCAUAGCUGCCAAUCUGACGACUGCCAAGUGGUGUUGCUUGGAGGAGGCCUAGAUGGAGUGACCAGAUGAGUCUCUCCAGUCUUCCUAACCAAUGAUCCUAUUUUAUUUUGAUUUUGCUGCCUUCAAUUAUGUCACUGUUCAAUUAUGUCACAUUUUGCUAUGCCAAAAUGCUAUGUAAAGCUAUCCUUUGCUGGUGUGGGUUAUUUCUGGAAGUUGAGUUGCUGGCGCUCCUCACAGGGCUCCAGGCUGCAACUUCCUCCGGAGUCCACCAGCAGAAACCACCAGCUGGAGCUCCAGGUUGGUGGCUUUUGAAAGGCCUCAACCAAAUUGAAUUCCAUAGUUUCUUAGGAGUAAUGUCUCUCCAGAGACAUUGAGACAAAUAGCAUUUUCUGUGUCUACUAUGAAAUCAUUGGGUUUUUGGAAGACAACAGUGUUACUGGUGGUCAGUUUGGUGACUUUCACUUGUAUAAACUUGUGCCAUAGGAGUCCUCCUGCAGGGCGACUGCCUGGUUGGUGGGGCUCACUCCUUUCUGAGGGGGCCAACCAACAGAACCUUGCUGGGGUUUUCUCAAAGCCAAGUCAUUGGGUUUGUGCUUGGGUGAAAUAUUAUGUUGUGCUCUAUCAGCUCUAUAUCUGAGUGUAGAUCGAAUAUGCUUUCUCUCAGUCCAUUCACGUGGAAUGUUUUUCAUGUUUCUAUUCUUCUGACUCCUAAAAACAUGGAAAUAAAAGUCAUAUAGGAGUCUUAUCUUUUAUUUACUUAUUAAACAAAUAACUACAUAGGCACCUCUUAUAAAUAAAUAAAUAAGCUCUGAGCUCCUUUGAGAGAUCAUUCAAGGCCAGGUGUGGAGACCAGCUACCCUCAGUCAGUGUGAGCCUGAGGCUGGCAAGUCCACACCAGCCUCUCCUGUCUGCCAACCCAGAAACAGGAUCCCAUGGAUACUCAGCCCAUCUUCCUUGGACGUCUUCCACUCCAUCUUGUCUUUAACUUUCUUGGCUUCUCAGCUUUAUCCUUAUCUCUUGGUUUGUCUUUUUUUUUUUUUUUUUUUUUUUAACAUAUAAGGGUGUUUAUUGUUUGUAG
RNAcentral lists this long non-coding RNA (2122 nucleotides) under Heterocephalus glaber (naked mole-rat). Its description in RNAcentral is "lncRNA (ENSHGLG00000040638.1)". The record is from RNAcentral. Lineage: Eukaryota; Metazoa; Chordata; Mammalia; Rodentia; Bathyergidae.